AGAGUUUGAUCCUGGCUCAGGAUGAACGCUGGCGGUGCGCCUAACACAUGCAAGUCGAACGAAGGAUUGUGAAGGAACUUUACGGAGGGAAAACACAAUGACUGAGUGGCGGACGGGUGAGUAACGCGUAGGGAACCUGGCCCUUACAGGGGGAUAACAGAUGGAAACAACUGCUAAUACCGCAUAAGCGCCCAGCCUCGCAUGAGGCAGAGUGAAAAACUAAGGUGGUAAGGGAUGGCCCUGCGUCCGAUUAGCUAGUUGGUAUGGUAACGGCAUACCAAGGCGACGAUCGGUAGCCGGCCUGAGAGGGUGGACGGCCACAUUGGGACUGAGACACGGCCCAAACUCCUACGGGAGGCAGCAGUGGGGGAUAUUGCACAAUGGGGGAAACCCUGAUGCAGCGACACCGCGUGGGUGAAGAAGCGCUUCGGCGUGUAAAGCCCUAUCAGUGGGGAAGAAAAAGGACGGUACCCAAAGAAGAAGCACCGGCUAAAUACGUGCCAGCAGCCGCGGUAAUACGUAUGGUGCAAGCGUUAUCCGGAAUGACUGGGUGUAAAGGGAGCGUAGACGGUUGUACAAGUCUGAUGUGAAAGCCCACGGCUCAACUGUGGGAGUGCAUUGGAAACUGUAGAACUAGAGUAUCGGAGAGGCAAGUGGAAUUCCUAGUGUAGCGGUGAAAUGCGUAGAUAUUAGGAGGAACACCAGUGGCGAAGGCGGCUUACUGGACUGUAACUGACGUUGAGGCU
This 746-nucleotide ribosomal RNA is filed under the name uncultured bacterium. Its description in RNAcentral is "bacterial SSU rRNA". It matches the Rfam family "Bacterial small subunit ribosomal RNA", at positions 8 to 753 of the family's 1533-position model. The record is from RNAcentral.